AGAAUAGAAGAGACGAAACAGGGGAAAACAGAACAGAGAAAUAAGAAAAAGAAAGAAAAAGGAAAAAUAGGGUUUUUGAAGCUUGAAGUUUAAUUGGUAAGUUAAAUCAAGUCCUUUUCUCAUAAAUUUGAUGUUUUUUGAAUCUUAGAGUGAAACACUCUUGGAUUUAAGUUGAAAUUUUGAAAGUUAAUAGAUUUUUUAGUAGGGUUUAUGUUGAAUAAAUGAUGGAAUUGAG
Molecule: long non-coding RNA, 235 nt
Filed under: Gossypium barbadense (sea-island cotton)
Lineage: Eukaryota; Viridiplantae; Streptophyta; Magnoliopsida; Malvales; Malvaceae
Description: long non-coding RNA (GBAR_LNC020561)
Source: RNAcentral